RNAcentral lists this ribosomal RNA (267 nucleotides) under uncultured bacterium. RNAcentral's name for it is "partial 16S ribosomal RNA". It matches the Rfam family "Bacterial small subunit ribosomal RNA", at positions 793 to 1055 of the family's 1533-position model. The record is from RNAcentral.
GUCCACACCGUAAACGUUGGGCGCUAGGUGUGGGACUCAUUCCACGAGUUCCGUGCCGCAGCUAACGCAUUAAGCGCCCCGCCUGGGGAGGUACGGCCGCAAGGCUAAAACUACAAAGGAAUUGACGGGGGCCCGGCACAAGCGGCGGAGCAUGCGGAUUAAUUCGAUGCAACGCGAAUAACCUUACCUAGGUUUGACAUAUACGAGAAGCCUCUGGAGACAGAGGUCUCUUUGGACACUUGUAUACAGGUGGUGCAUGGCUGUCGU